GGGUUGUGAGGUUAAGCGACUAAGCGUACACGGUGGAUGCCCUGGCAGUCAGAGGCGAUGAAGGACGUGCUAAUCUGCGAUAAGCGUCGGUGAGGUGAUAUGAACCGUUAUAACCGGCGAUUUCCGAAUGGGGAAACCCAGUGUGUUUCGACACACUAUCAUUAACUGAAUCCAUAGGUUAAUGAGGCGAACCGGGGGAACUGAAACAUCUAAGUACCCCGAGGAAAAGAAAUCAACCGAGAUUCCCCCAGUAGCGGCGAGCGAACGGGGAGGAGCCCAGAGCCUGAAUCAGUGUGUGUGUUAGUGGAAGCGUCUGGAAAGGCGUGCGAUACAG
RNAcentral lists this ribosomal RNA (334 nucleotides) under Escherichia coli. RNAcentral's name for it is "partial 23S ribosomal RNA". It matches the Rfam family "Bacterial large subunit ribosomal RNA", at positions 1 to 362 of the family's 2925-position model. Lineage: Bacteria; Pseudomonadati; Pseudomonadota; Gammaproteobacteria; Enterobacterales; Enterobacteriaceae. The record is from RNAcentral.